This 1518-nucleotide ribosomal RNA is filed under the name Clostridium botulinum. RNAcentral describes it as "bacterial SSU rRNA". It matches the Rfam family "Bacterial small subunit ribosomal RNA". Lineage: Bacteria; Bacillati; Bacillota; Clostridia; Eubacteriales; Clostridiaceae. The record is from RNAcentral.
UUUUAAAUUUAGAGUUUGAUCCUGGCUCAGGACGAACGCUGGCGGCGUGCUUAACACAUGCAAGUCGAGCGAUGAAGCUUCCUUCGGGAAGUGAAUUAGCGGCGGACGGGUGAGUAACACGUGGGUAACCUGCCUCAAAGUGGGGGAUAGCCUUCCGAAAGGAAGAUUAAUACCGCAUAAUAUAAGAGAAUCGCAUGAUUUUCUUAUCAAAGAUUUAUUGCUUUGAGAUGGACCCGCGGCGCAUUAGCUAGUUGGUAAGGUAACGGCUUACCAAGGCAACGAUGCGUAGCCGACCUGAGAGGGUGAUCGGCCACAUUGGAACUGAGACACGGUCCAGACUCCUACGGGAGGCAGCAGUGGGGAAUAUUGCGCAAUGGGGGAAACCCUGACGCAGCAACGCCGCGUGGGUGAUGAAGGUCUUCGGAUUGUAAAGCCCUGUUUUCUAGGACGAUAAUGACGGUACUAGAGGAGGAAGCCACGGCUAACUACGUGCCAGCAGCCGCGGUAAUACGUAGGUGGCGAGCGUUGUCCGGAUUUACUGGGCGUAAAGGGUGCGUAGGCGGAUGUUUAAGUGGGAUGUGAAAUCCCCGGGCUUAACCUGGGGGCUGCAUUCCAAACUGGAUAUCUAGAGUGCAGGAGAGGAAAGCGGAAUUCCUAGUGUAGCGGUGAAAUGCGUAGAGAUUAGGAAGAACACCAGUGGCGAAGGCGGCUUUCUGGACUGUAACUGACGCUGAGGCACGAAAGCGUGGGUAGCAAACAGGAUUAGAUACCCUGGUAGUCCACGCCGUAAACGAUGGAUACUAGGUGUAGGGGGUAUCAACUCCCCCUGUGCCGCAGUUAACACAAUAAGUAUCCCGCCUGGGGAGUACGGUCGCAAGAUUAAAACUCAAAGGAAUUGACGGGGGCCCGCACAAGCAGCGGAGCAUGUGGUUUAAUUCGAAGCAACGCGAAGAACCUUACCUGGACUUGACAUCCCUUGCAUAGCCUAGAGAUAGGUGAAGCCCUUCGGGGCAAGGAGACAGGUGGUGCAUGGUUGUCGUCAGCUCGUGUCGUGAGAUGUUAGGUUAAGUCCUGCAACGAGCGCAACCCUUGUUAUUAGUUGCUACCAUUAAGUUGAGCACUCUAAUGAGACUGCCUGGGUAACCAGGAGGAAGGUGGGGAUGACGUCAAAUCAUCAUGCCCCUUAUGUCCAGGGCUACACACGUGCUACAAUGGUAGGUACAAUAAGACGCAAGACCGUGAGGUGGAGCAAAACUUAUAAAACCUAUCUCAGUUCGGAUUGUAGGCUGCAACUCGCCUACAUGAAGCUGGAGUUGCUAGUAAUCGCGAAUCAGAAUGUCGCGGUGAAUACGUUCCCGGGCCUUGUACACACCGCCCGUCACACCAUGAGAGCUGGUAACACCCGAAGUCCGUGAGGUAACCGUAAGGAGCCAGCGGCCGAAGGUGGGAUUAGUGAUUGGGGUGAAGUCGUAACAAGGUAGCCGUAGGAGAACCUGCGGCUGGAUCACCUCCUUUCUA